This is a non-coding RNA of Dallia pectoralis (Alaska blackfish), 72 nucleotides long. Lineage: Eukaryota; Metazoa; Chordata; Actinopteri; Esociformes; Umbridae. The record is from the annotation of a GenBank genome assembly.
AUCUGUUGGAGUUGUGGUUAGUGCGCUCGGCUGUCAAACAGGGCUACGUGGGUUCGAAUCCCCUACCAGAUG